GCCUAUUUAGCUCAGUUGGUAGAGCGCAAGGCUCUUAACCUCGCGGUCGUGGGUUUGAGCCCCAUGGUGGGCA
This 73-nucleotide transfer RNA is filed under the name Ipomoea nil (Japanese morning glory). It matches the Rfam family "tRNA". From Rfam's summary of the family: Transfer RNA (tRNA) molecules are approximately 80 nucleotides in length. Their secondary structure includes four short double-helical elements and three loops (D, anti-codon, and T loops). Lineage: Eukaryota; Viridiplantae; Streptophyta; Magnoliopsida; Solanales; Convolvulaceae. The record is from Rfam by way of RNAcentral.